This 252-nucleotide ribosomal RNA is filed under the name uncultured bacterium. RNAcentral's name for it is "partial 16S ribosomal RNA". It matches the Rfam family "Bacterial small subunit ribosomal RNA", at positions 524 to 776 of the family's 1533-position model. The record is from RNAcentral.
UACGGAGGAUGCGAGCGUUAUCCGGAUUUAUUGGGUUUAAAGGGUGCGUAGGCGGUCCGUUAAGUCAGCGGUAAAAUUGCGGGGCUCAACCCCGUCGAGCCGUUGAAACUGGCAGACUUGAGUUGGCGAGAAGUACGCGGAAUGCGCGGUGUAGCGGUGAAAUGCAUAGAUAUCGCGCAGAACUCCGAUUGCGAAGGCAGCGUACCGGCGCCAGACUGACGCUGAGGCACGAAAGCGUGGGGAUCGAAUAGG